This 255-nucleotide ribosomal RNA is filed under the name uncultured bacterium. Its description in RNAcentral is "partial 16S ribosomal RNA". It matches the Rfam family "Bacterial small subunit ribosomal RNA", at positions 524 to 776 of the family's 1533-position model. The record is from RNAcentral.
UACGUAGGGGGGCAAGCGUUGUCCGGAAUCAUUGGGCGUAAAGAGCGCGUAGGCGGUCCGGUAAGUCGGUUGUGAAAACUGGGGGGCUCAACCCUCAGAGGCCGACCGAUACUGUCGGGCUAGAGUCCGGAAGAGGCGAGUGGAAUUCCUGGUGUAGCGGUGAAAUGCGCAGAUAUCAGGAGGAACACCAAUGGCGAAGGCAGCUCGCUGGGACGGUACUGACGCUGAGGCGCGAAAGCGUGGGGAGCAAACAGG